ACAACCAAAAAUAUAAGAGUUCGGUUCCCAG
This 31-nucleotide non-coding RNA is filed under the name Mus musculus (house mouse). The record is from RNAcentral. Lineage: Eukaryota; Metazoa; Chordata; Mammalia; Rodentia; Muridae.